AGAAUCAACGCUGGCGGCGUGCCUAACACAUGCAAGUCGAACGAGAAAGUGGAGCAAUCCAUGAGUAAAGUGGCGCACGGGUGAGUAACACGUGACUAACCUACCCUUGAGUGGGGGAUAACCUAGGGAAAUCUGGGCUAAUACCGCAUAAUACCUUCGGGUCAAAGGAGCAAUUCGCUUAAGGAGGGGUCGCGGCCGAUUAGUUAGUUGGCGGGGUAAUGGCCCACCAAGACUGUGAUCGGUA
RNAcentral lists this ribosomal RNA (244 nucleotides) under uncultured bacterium. Its description in RNAcentral is "partial small subunit ribosomal RNA". It matches the Rfam family "Bacterial small subunit ribosomal RNA", at positions 26 to 285 of the family's 1533-position model. The record is from RNAcentral.